Long non-coding RNA from Acanthochromis polyacanthus (spiny chromis), 2865 nucleotides. RefSeq lists it as uncharacterized. The transcript has 3 exons. Lineage: Eukaryota; Metazoa; Chordata; Actinopteri; Pomacentridae. The record is from RefSeq and is a predicted model, not a curated record.
AUAUUUAUAUAUAUGUUCAACUCAUUGAACAUAUAGUUUAGAAAUAAAUACUCUGUUCUCUGUACAUUUUGAAUAGAUGCGUGUUGAUUUCAACUAUCUGAUACCUAAUGAAAUUCUGUAAUGAUAGUGAUUUAGAUGCCGAUAUUUCUUUAUAGAUGAUUGACAGGCUGUUUGACAUAAUGAAUGGAUGCAAUCCUUGUGCCAAAGGAUUCAAAGCUCCCUUGGGUGCUUUGAAUUGGAUGGAGAGAAAAGCGUUUUUGUUGAGAGCCAGGGAGUACUUGCUCACUUUGGUGACAAAAGAUGGAACAUCCCUUCACCGAUCGAAGAGGUCUAUUAAAAUAGUGCUUGUUAUUCAUGCAUGAAAAGUUCAUGACAUGAGUUCAACGACACUUUGUUCCCUUAUGCAUCGAGUUUCUAAGAUGCUCCGUUGUUCUGUUAUGCAUCGAGUUCCUAAGAUGCUCCAAUGUUCUGUUAUGCAUCGAGUUCCUAAGAUGCUCCGCUCUCUACAUCAGGUUCAUAUGAUGCUACUGUUGCAAUGUUUUUCUUUAUUUUUUUCUCUUUUGAAAUAGUUUUGUAUUCAGUCCCACACAAGUGUCAUAAUGGUAUGUAUGCUAACAUGAUGCUCAUUUAUUUAAAUGUUUUUCAGCGUUCAGUUUUGUUGAUGUCGGAAAUGUCUUGUAUUCAGUGUGUUUCAGGUCCGAGAUGAUUCAAAAUGGUAUGUUUUACACAAGAUCAAUGUUAUGCAUGUGUCAGAUGGAUGGUAUGUAUGUUGAUAUGAUGAUCUCUUGUUAAAAUGUUUUUCAAUAUGUAGUUUUGGUCCUGUUGGAAUGAUCCUGUUUCAGGUGUUUCAGGUCCGAGAUGUUUCUAAAUGGUAUGUAUUACAUAACAUCAAGUGCAUGUCGAUAUCAAAAUGGUAGGUAUUGCAUGUGUUCGUGUUCUCAAGUUCUUCCAGUUCUCCCAGUUCUGCAAUUAUAUUGUUCCAAGUUAGUUAAGUGUCCUUAAAGUAUACUGUAUAAGUUAAAGAAGAAACUGAUCACAUUCCUAAAAACAUGGAUGCAAACUAAUUAUCGAUCUGUAAUGAUCUGUUGACCAUUUUCAUUCUCUGUGAGUUUGCAUCCCUGUGAUAGGCACUCAAGAAUUGGUGAUUACACGUUACUGAUGGAUGUGAUGGAAAAUCACUUUACUGCUUUGAAUGAACAAAAUGACAUGGUGCUUUCUUGGGGUGUCUUGUUUCGCCAUGAUCACAGUAAUAUAUUUUUUUCUUUUGCAGGUGCUUGUCUGUCAUUGGAUUUGUCAUCAAUAUUGACACAUUGAUGCUGAUGAUUCCUGAGCUGCUCCAAGUUCAGCGGCGGCUGGAAUAACAAUCCAUCUGCAGGCCAGUUCCAGGCCAUCUUCUGCCGUCUGAUGGUUCGUUGUGGUGUCUCACCUAGUGAGACCGGCAAUGUGGUAGCCCAAGAUGACACUGUCCCUGUCGGCAGUAGAGAUGUCCUCUGCUGAAACUGCUGAAGAGCACCCAUCUUCAUUUGCCAACAUUUUGGCUGUUGUGUGUGACCACAGUUAUCUUCCCACUCAGUUUAGUGAUCUGGUGGAAUGCUGUGGUCUACAUAGCAGGAUUUAUAGUCCGGCAGACUCAACAAAAGCUGUCCUGUGAUGUGUGCCGUUCAAGCUUGGUCAGAGAUGCUGUGCCAUCAUCAUUUGACGAGAGCUACCACCUUCUUGCUCUGAAAAACAAUGUGAUUCCAUCACAAGGCACAGUGUGCUGAGAGUUGCAGAGAGGGUGAUUCGCCAGGCUUCAACAAAGCAAGCUCCAAAGGUGUCAACAGUCACACACAUCGUCCGGGAGGAGAUUGGAAUGGAGAAUAUUUUUCUGCUUGUUGAACACAUUGAAGAUACACAGUUUGGUAUCGACAACCAUCAUUCCAGCUUGUUAUCAUUGGUUGUGUCCGUGUUUCUCAAGAUAAGGCUGCAUCAUAUUGCCAAACUUACAUCUCUUGACCUGCAGAAAGGGAGCACGAGAAAGAAGCUCUGCAAAACAGUCCUCUUUAAGGGGUUUUAGCUGUAAAACAAUUGUACAUGUGUAAAUGUGGUUUGGGGCAGGGAUAUCAUGUUCUUGUGUUAACUUGAGAAUUUAUAUUUACAUUACAUUUUAUACUCUCUGCUUUGUACAUCUAUAUGAUUUAUAUACACUGACAGUCAAUAGAAACUUUGAGACCAUAUUUUUCAACAUAAUUUUUAUUUUGAAGCCCGAAACUGGAUCUUCUUCAUAUGAAUAAUUUGUUUAGCAUAUUGGUAUACAGAAACAAACAUCUAAAGUUUCAGGAAUGAUUUCAAAAUAAAGAAUUUCACAAAAGAAAACGGCACCUGCCAAACACAAAGUCACAACAGUCAAUACUGAGUAUGGCCUCCAUUUGCUUCGAUGCAGGCAGCAAUCCGUCGGCGCAUGCUUUGGACCAGGCUUCUGAUUGUGGGUUGGGAACAGCCCAUACGCCUGGCUACAUCACUGUAGCUCAAACCGGCCUCCACCAUACCCAGUGCCCGGAGACGUUGUUCAUGUGAUAGACACGGUAUGAUGCUGUUCACUGGACUAACAAUGGUGGCCUUUUUUGGGCCUUUACAUCGGCCUUCAAAACCCAUUCUCAAAUUGUGCGGAUACUCAGUGAGUAUUGCUUGGUGUGUAUUUGGUUCACUUUUGCAAAGUGACCAACCCAUGUGCAAUGAAUCAUGAAAAAAUGACAACUCAUCAUUAUCUCAACUACCAGGGCACUAGAUCAUCAGUAAAUCCACAAUGAAUAAUUACAACCCCCCUACAAGUAGAAUUCUGCAUACAUUUCUACCUCAAAGUUUCUAUUGACUGUCAGUAUAUAU